ACAACAAUGGAGUCUGAGGUGAGUUUUGAGACCUCCUUCUUUCGCCUUGUGUGCCCUCCGAGAUUUUGCCCUCUGUGAAGUACACUGUGGAGCCAGUGGGGUUGGGUGGACUUACUUUGCUCAAGGACCGCGUUAGUACUCGAGG
This is a non-coding RNA of Prunus avium (sweet cherry), 145 nucleotides long. NCBI's taxonomy places the organism in Eukaryota, Viridiplantae, Streptophyta, Magnoliopsida, Rosales, Rosaceae. The record is from RefSeq and is a predicted model, not a curated record.